This 721-nucleotide long non-coding RNA is filed under the name Lytechinus variegatus (green sea urchin). RNAcentral's name for it is "uncharacterized LOC121423099". Lineage: Eukaryota; Metazoa; Echinodermata; Echinoidea; Temnopleuroida; Toxopneustidae. The record is from RNAcentral.
GACUUGCAUGUAUUGGGAACAACCCCAUAGUGCUACGGUGCCAAGCUACGCUGCGUGGUUUACACUCUCUUUGUAAAAUCUCAUGAUAAAAAAAAUAUUUCUCGCACAACAACAAAAACAAAUUCAACCUCGAAAAAUAGCUUGCCUUGGUGAAGGCUGUAUUGAAGGUAAAGGGAGUGUUCUUUUGAUUUAGUAUCAUAUUUCGUUCCUGUCCUGACUGAACUGUCUUUUAAACUUGAACCAUAUUUAUCAUAUAUGCAUUUUCUGGAAAUAAGCUUACGAUGCAUCGAGUAGUGGUCCUGAGUUUAUUCAUCAUAUUGCUUCUCUUCGGCUCUGGCUACAGCCUAGAUGAUCGACAUACGGGGGCAAGAUUGUAUGAUCAGCAAACUGUGGAAGAAAUGAGGGCAUCCCCGCUCAUCAGAAAGAUGAAAAGAUCCAUUGACGACUUUUUGAGCAGACGCCCAGAUUUCAGAAGAGUACGACAACCUGUCGCCCUGUAGAGCAGACAUGGAAAUCGCGAUUUCUACCUUGGCUCUUCCGGAACCAUCAUGCUAUUAGGAUUGUUCAUUUUGACCAAAACAAUAACAGCUGAGCAGAUGAUAGAAAGACAUUUACGAUGCCCAUGAUAAUUUCUAUGUAGAGUAAGAAUGGAGGCUAUAAUGUAAAAAAAAAGAAAAAUAAAGAUAUCAAUAUCUUAAGGUGUUCAAUAUGUAUAUCACAA